Molecule: unclassified non-coding RNA, 22 nt
Filed under: Galatheanthemum sp. n. MRB-2014
Lineage: Eukaryota; Metazoa; Cnidaria; Anthozoa; Actiniaria; Galatheanthemidae
Description: partial external transcribed spacer
Source: RNAcentral
CUGAACGCCUCUAAAUCAGAAA